RNAcentral lists this ribosomal RNA (372 nucleotides) under uncultured bacterium. RNAcentral describes it as "bacterial SSU rRNA". It matches the Rfam family "Bacterial small subunit ribosomal RNA", at positions 524 to 896 of the family's 1533-position model. The record is from RNAcentral.
UACGUAGGGUGCAAGCGUUAAUCGGAAUUACUGGGCGUAAAGCGUGCGCAGGCGGUUUCGUAAGUCUGUCGUGAAAUCCCCGGGCUCAACCUGGGAAUGGCGAUGGAGACUGCGAGGCUAGAGUUUGGCAGAGGGGGGUAGAAUUCCACGUGUAGCAGUGAAAUGCGUAGAGAUGUGGAGGAACACCGAUGGCGAAGGCAGCCCCCUGGGUCAAAACUGACGCUCAUGCACGAAAGCGUGGGGAGCAAACAGGAUUAGAUACCCUGGUAGUCCACGCCCUAAACGAUGUCUACUAGUUGUUGGGUCUUAAUUGACUUAGUAACGCAGCUAACGCGUGAAGUAGACCGCCUGGGGAGUACGGUCGCAAGAUUA